This 262-nucleotide unclassified non-coding RNA is filed under the name Chorda filum. RNAcentral's name for it is "ITS2". The record is from RNAcentral. Lineage: Eukaryota; Phaeophyceae; Laminariales; Chordaceae.
GACACCACUCGCCGCCCCCCCCCGUUGCUCGCGCGACGGGAGGUUGCGCGCGGACUCUGCGUGUUCCGGACGAACGUCCGAGUGCACCGAACUUCGUGAACGAAACUUCUACUGCCCUUGCUGCACAGAGUUGUUGACGGCGUCCGCUUCGGCGGCGACUCUCGACUCGUUUAUUGCUCCAGGUCUAUCGGUAGGGGUGAUUCCGGUUGCUGCGCCCCCGCCGCUUGUUAAAGUGGCGCGGAGGUCCCCCAAACUACUUUCG